This 791-nucleotide ribosomal RNA is filed under the name uncultured bacterium. RNAcentral's name for it is "bacterial SSU rRNA". It matches the Rfam family "Bacterial small subunit ribosomal RNA", at positions 553 to 1344 of the family's 1533-position model. The record is from RNAcentral.
ACUGGGCGUAAAGGGCGUGCAGGCGGCCUGGUCAGUGAGAUGUGAAAGCUCCUGGCUCAACCAGGGAACUGCAUCUCAUACUGCCAGGCUUGAGGACGGGAGAGGAGACGGGAAUUCCCGGUGUAGCGGUGAAAUGCACUGAUAUCGGGAGGAACACCAGUGGCGAAGGCGCGUCUCUGGCCCGAUCCUGACGCUCAGGCGCGAAAGCUGGGGGAGCAAACAGGAUUAGAUACCCUGGUAGUCCCAGCUGUAAACGGUGAACACUAGGUGUGGGGGGCAUCGACCCCUUCCGUGCCGCAGCUAACGCAUUAAGUGUUCCGCCUGGGGAGUACGACCGCAAGGUUGAAACUCAAAGGAAUUGACGGGGGCCCGCACAAGCGGUGGAGCAUGUGGUUUAAUUCGAUGCAACGCGCAGAACCUUACCCAGGCUUGACAUGCACUGGACAGGUGUGGAAACACACCCUCCCUUCGGAGUCGGUGCACAGGUGCUGCAUGGCUGUCGUCAGCUCGUGUCGUGAGAUGUUGGGUUAAGUCCCGCAACGAGCGCAACCCUUGCCCUUAGUUGCCAGCAUUUCGGAUGGGCACUCUAAGGGGACUGCCGGCGAUGAGCCGGAGGAAGGUGGGGAUGACGUCAAGUCCUCAUGGUCCUUAUGUCUGGGGCUACACACGUGCUACAAUGGCCGGUACAGAGGGUCGCGAUGCCGCGAGGUGGAGCUAAUCCCAAAAAGCCGGUCUCAGUUCGGAUUGCAGUCUGCAACUCGACUGCAUGAAGCUGGAAUCGCUAGUAAUCG